Molecule: unclassified non-coding RNA, 242 nt
Filed under: Hevea brasiliensis (rubber tree)
Lineage: Eukaryota; Viridiplantae; Streptophyta; Magnoliopsida; Malpighiales; Euphorbiaceae
Source: RNAcentral
GUUUUUUCUCAACAAAGUCGCACCAGUGAUCAAGUAGCCGAAACCUUCCAGCUAAAACUAUUUUCCAACCAGUAACAGCUUUACUUAUAGUGAUGUUCUUUUGUCCAUUUUCUCUGAAAACGAAGAAGACAAAAUCAUAGAAACGCGAGAACUCAGAGAAGUCUGCCUCCAAAUUCAACCGCAACUUAAGCUUGUACACUUCUUCAAAGAUAGUCGCCCUUAUAUGCAAACUUGAAUCCACU